GUUUGUGACCGGGAUGCAGCCUUCUCUUCUGUAUCAUCCAUUCACCCUCCCUGGGCUUCCCUGGAAUGGUCAACGGAAGUUCCACAUAUGGCCUGCCACAAUCUGUUAUGAGAAUAACAGAGGAUUCAGUGUGAGAAUCAGUGAGAAAUAUAUUUUGCUCUCCCCCGGGUCUGGCCCAGGGUGAGCAUAGUGCAGAAACAGCUCCCACACCUUAAGAAAGGGAGCCAGAGACCGAGUGGUAUCUAAUGCAAAUCUAUUCUAAGAAGGCUGUGGGGGCCAUCUGGUGUCCGAUGCAGACAGGGCCUGCUGCGAGAUGAAUUGGGAGGACAAGGGACUGGGUGAGAGCGAGUGACGGGAGGUGAGAGGCUGACUCCUUUUUAUCCAUGUCAAAACACAGCCCAUCAGGAGGAUAAGAAGAGAAAUCACCUUAUGUUGUGGGAAGCAGAUCAAAGCAGAAAAGAUAACGUCUCCAAAAGAAAAGGGGGAACAGAAAGCCGUGUUGUUGAACAAAGACGGGAGAGAAACAGGCUUGGGUCACUGGAUACCAAGCUGGACUCAAUGGCUGUCUGGGUGGCCUCCUUCAAAGAAAAGGCAAAUCCUUCCACCAGUUGUUCCGGCUUCAGACACGCAUAGACACUAACCCUUCCCGCGCGGCAUCUCUCUGGGUUUUUUGUUUCCUGAAAAAUAUAGUCCCUAUCACUGGCUUUCUAUGCAGAGCUAAAAUAAUUCAUCAAAUAUUUGGAAUGUGUAAUUAAA
Molecule: long non-coding RNA, 756 nt
Filed under: Homo sapiens (human)
Lineage: Eukaryota; Metazoa; Chordata; Mammalia; Primates; Hominidae
Description: HSALNT0258246
Source: RNAcentral